UUCAUCACAAUCUCUUCUUUUUUACAACCUUUCCACUAUUAUUCCAAUAGUUCUCUUUCUUCCCUUGUUAAGAUAAAAUGUCUGCUUUAGGACAAGGGCUUAGAAAGAGAAUUAGGCAAGAUAAGGAGAAAAGAAAGUAAGAAAGGGAGAAGGCUAGGAGGUGGAAAAGAAAGGCCAAGUUUUAGGGUAGUGUUGUGCUAUCCAAAAAGGAAUUCUUUAAGAA
Molecule: long non-coding RNA, 223 nt
Filed under: Elaeis guineensis (African oil palm)
Lineage: Eukaryota; Viridiplantae; Streptophyta; Magnoliopsida; Arecales; Arecaceae
Description: long non-coding RNA (EGUI_LNC009144)
Source: RNAcentral